AGUCGACGAUGAAUCUUCUAGCUUGCUAGAAGUGGAUUAGUGGCGCACGGGUGAGUAAUGCAUAGGUUAUGUGCCCUUUAGUCUGGGAUAGCCACUGGAAACGGUGAUUAAUACUGGAUACUCCCUACGGGGGAAAGUUUUUCGCUAAAGGAUCAGCCUAUGUCCUAUCAGCUUGUUGGUGAGGUAAUGGCUCACCAAGGCUAUGACGGGUAUCCGGCCUGAGAGGGUGAUCGGACACACUGGAACUGAGACACGGUCCAGACUCCUACGGGAGGCAGCAGUAGGGAAUAUUGCUCAAUGGGGGAAACCCUGAAGCAGCAACGCCGCGUGGAGGAUGAAGGUUUUAGGAUUGUAAACUCCUUUUGUUAGAGAAGAUUAUGACGGUAUCUAACGAAUAAGCACCGGCUAACUCCGUGCCAGCAGCCGCGGUAAUACGGAGGGUGCAAGCGUUACUCGGAAUCACUGGGCGUAAAGAGUGCGUAGGCGGGGUAAUAAGUCAGAUGUGAAAUCCUGUAGCUUAACUACAGAACUGCAUUUGAAACUGUUACUCUGGAGUGUGGGAGAGGUAGGUGGAAUUCUUGGUGUAGGGGUAAAAUCCGUAGAGAUCAAGAGGAAUACUCAUUGCGAAGGCGACCUGCUGGAACAUUACUGACGCUGAUGCACGAAAGCGUGGGGAGCAAACAGGAUUAGAUACCCUGGUAGUCCACGCCCUAAACGAUGGAUGCUAGUUGUUGCCUUGCUUGUCAGGGCAGUAAUGCAGCUAACGCAUUAAGCAUCCCGCCUGGGGAGUACGGUCGCAAGAUUAAAACUCAAAGGAAUAGACGGGGACCCGCACAAGCGGUGGAGCAUGUGGUUUAAUUCGAAGAUACGCGAAGAACCUUACCUAGGCUUGA
This 893-nucleotide ribosomal RNA is filed under the name uncultured bacterium. Its description in RNAcentral is "bacterial SSU rRNA". It matches the Rfam family "Bacterial small subunit ribosomal RNA", at positions 60 to 984 of the family's 1533-position model. The record is from RNAcentral.